AACGAACGCUGGCGGCACGCCUAACACAUGCAAGUCGAACGAGACCUUCGGGUCUAGUGGCGCACGGGUGCGUAACGCGUGGGAACCUGCCCUUAGGUUCGGAAUAACUCCCCGAAAGGGGUGCUAAUACCGGAUAAUGUCUUCGGACCAAAGAUUUAUCGCCUUUGGAUGGGCCCGCGUUGGAUUAGCUAGUUGGUAGGGUAAAAGCCUACCAAGGCGACGAUCCAUAGCUGGUCUGAGAGGAUGAUCAGCCACACUGGGACUGAGACACGGCCCAGACUCCUACGGGAGGCAGCAGUGGGGAAUAUUGGACAAUGGGCGAAAGCCUGAUCCAGCAAUGCCGCGUGAGUGAUGAAGGCCUUAGGGUUGUAAAGCUCUUUUACCCGGGAUGAUAAUGACAGUACCGGGAGAAUAAGCUCCGACUAACUCCGUG
This 433-nucleotide ribosomal RNA is filed under the name uncultured bacterium. Its description in RNAcentral is "partial 16S ribosomal RNA". It matches the Rfam family "Bacterial small subunit ribosomal RNA", at positions 29 to 507 of the family's 1533-position model. The record is from RNAcentral.